RNAcentral lists this ribosomal RNA (253 nucleotides) under uncultured bacterium. RNAcentral's name for it is "partial 16S ribosomal RNA". It matches the Rfam family "Bacterial small subunit ribosomal RNA", at positions 524 to 776 of the family's 1533-position model. The record is from RNAcentral.
UACGUAGGGUGCGAGCGUUGUCCGGAAUUACUGGGCGUAAAGAGCUCGUAGGUGGUUUGUCGCGUUGUUCGUGAAAACUCAUAGCUUAACUGUGGGCGUGCGGGCGAUACGGGCAGACUGGAGUACUGCAGGGGAGACUGGAAUUCCUGGUGUAGCGGUGGAAUGCGCAGAUAUCAGGAGGAACACCGGUGGCGAAGGCGGGUCUCUGGGCAGUAACUGACGCUGAGGAGCGAAAGCAUGGGUAGCAAACAGG